This 972-nucleotide ribosomal RNA is filed under the name human gut metagenome. Its description in RNAcentral is "bacterial LSU rRNA". It matches the Rfam family "Bacterial large subunit ribosomal RNA", at positions 1953 to 2925 of the family's 2925-position model. The record is from RNAcentral.
AAGGUAGCGAAAUUCCUUGUCGGGUAAGUUCCGACCUGCACGAAUGGCGUAACGAUCUCCACACUGUCUCGGCCAGAGACUCGGUGAAAUUGCAGUCGCGGUGAAAAUUCCGUGUACCCGCAGAAAGACGGAAAGACCCUGUGCACCUUUACUAUAGCUUGACAUUGGAUUUUGGGCCUGCAUGUGUAGGAUAGGUGGGAGGCUGUGAACCCUGUACGCCAGUAUGGGGGGAGCCAUCCUUGAAAUACCACCCUUGCAUGUUUAAGAUCCUAACUUCUUCCGGUUAUCCCGGAGAAAGACAGUGUCUGGCGGGUAGUUUGACUGGGGCGGUCGCCUCCUAAAGUGUAACGGAGGCAUGCAAAGGUUCCCUCAGCCUGAUCGGAAACCAGGCGCUGAGUGCAAACGCAUAAGGGAGCUUGACUGUAAGAGAGACAUCUCGAACAGGAACGAAAGUUGGCGUUAGUGAUCCGGUGGUCCCGAAUGGAAGGGCCAUCGCUCAUUGGAUAAAAGGUACGCCGGGGAUAACAGGCUGAUCGCAUCCAAGAGUUCACAUCGACGAUGCGGUUUGGCACCUCGAUGUCGGCUCAUCACAUCCUGGGGCUGAAGCAGGUCCCAAGGGUACGGCUGUUCGCCGAUUAAAGUGGUACGCGAGCUGGGUUUAAAACGUCGUGAGACAGUUUGGUCCCUAUCUUCUGUGGGCGAAGGAGAAUUGAGAGGGCCUGUCCCUAGUACGAGAGGACCGGGAUGGACGCACCCCUGGUGAUCCUGUUGUCGCGCCAGCGGCAUAGCAGGGUAGCUAUGUGCGGAAGGGAUAACCGCUGAAAGCAUCUAAGCGGGAAGCCUGCCUCAAGAUAAGUUCUCCCCUCGAAAGAGCUGAAGGGCCCGGGUAGACUACCCGGUCGAUAGGCUGGAGGUGUAAGCGCGGCGACGUGCUCAGCUGACCAGUACUAAUAGCCCGAGCGGCUUAUUUUU